RNAcentral lists this ribosomal RNA (260 nucleotides) under uncultured bacterium. RNAcentral's name for it is "partial 16S ribosomal RNA". It matches the Rfam family "Bacterial small subunit ribosomal RNA", at positions 94 to 354 of the family's 1533-position model. The record is from RNAcentral.
AGUGGCGGACGGGUGAGUAACGCGUGGGUAACCUACCUCAUACAGGGGGAUAACAGUUGGAAACGACCGCUAAUACCGCAUAACCCGCUAGUAUCGCAUGAUACAGACGGAAAAGAUUUAUCGGUAUGAGAUGGACCCGCGUCUGAUUAGCCAGUUGGCAGGGUAACGGCCUACCAAAGCGACGAUCAGUAGCCGGCCUGAGAGGGUGAACGGCCACAUUGGGACUGAGACACGGCCCAAACUCCUACGGAAGGCAGCAG